UACGGAGGAUGCAAGCGUUAUCCGGAUUUAUUGGGUUUAAAGGGUGCGCAGGUUGUUUGAUAAGUCAGUGGUGAAAGUCUGUCGCUUAACGGUAGGAUUGCCAUUGGUACUGUUGGACUUGAAUAUGGAUGAGGUAGGCGGAAUGUGUAGUGUAGCGGUGAAAUGCAUAGAUAUUACACAGAACACCGAUUGCGAAGGCAGCUUACUAAUCCAUCAUUGACGCUGAGGCACGAAAGCGUGGGGAGUCAAACAGGA
RNAcentral lists this ribosomal RNA (255 nucleotides) under uncultured prokaryote. Its description in RNAcentral is "partial 16S ribosomal RNA". It matches the Rfam family "Bacterial small subunit ribosomal RNA", at positions 524 to 777 of the family's 1533-position model. The record is from RNAcentral.